GCGCAGGAAAAGAAACCAACAGGGAUUGCCCUAGUAACGGCGAGUGAAGCGGCAACAGCUCAAAUUUGAAAUCUGGUCCUUCGGGGCCCGAGUUGUAAUUUGCAGAGGAUGCUUUUGGCGCGGUGCCUUCCGAGUGCCCUGGAACGGGACGCCACAGAGGGUGAGAGCCCCGUAUGGUUGGACACCAAGCCUAUGUAAAGCUCCUUCGACGAGUCGAGUAGUUUGGGAAUGCCGCUCAAAAUGGGAGGUAAACCCCUUCUAAAGCUAAAUACUGGCCAGAGACCGAUAGCGCACAAGUAGAGUGAUCGAAAGAUGAAAAGCACUUUGAAAAGAGAGUUAAAAGCACGUGAAAUUGUUGAAAGGGAAGCGUUUGCGACCAGACUUGCGCCCGUCGAAUCAGCCGUCCCUCGUGGGCGGUGCACUUCGGCGGGCUCAGGCCAGCAUCAGUUUACUGCAGGGGGAGAAAGGCGCUGGGAAUGUGGCUCCUCGGAGUGUUAUAGCCCGGCGCGUAAUACCCCUCGGUGGACUGAGGACCGCGCGAAAGCAAGGAUGCUGGCGUAAUGGUCGUCAGCGACCCGUCUUGAAACACGGACCAAGGAGUCGUCCUAAUAUGCGAGUGUUUGGGUGUCAAACCCCAGCGCGUAAUGAAAGUGAACGGAGGUGAGAGCUUCGGCGCAUCAUCGACCGAUCCUGAUGUUCUCGGAUGGAUUUGA
This 713-nucleotide ribosomal RNA is filed under the name uncultured Pseudallescheria. RNAcentral describes it as "eukaryotic LSU rRNA". It matches the Rfam family "Eukaryotic large subunit ribosomal RNA", at positions 50 to 793 of the family's 3401-position model. Lineage: Eukaryota; Fungi; Ascomycota; Sordariomycetes; Microascales; Microascaceae. The record is from RNAcentral.